Molecule: ribosomal RNA, 551 nt
Filed under: uncultured bacterium
Lineage: Bacteria
Description: bacterial SSU rRNA
Rfam family: Bacterial small subunit ribosomal RNA
Source: RNAcentral
UAGGGAAGCUUCCCUAAUGGACGGAAGUCUGACCGAGCAACGCCGCGUGAGUGAAGAAGGUUUUCGGAUCGUAAAGCUCUGGUGUAAGAGAAGAACGAGUGUGAGAGUGGAAAGUUCACACUGUGACGGUAUCUUACCAGAAAGGGACGGGUAACUACGUGCCAGCAGCCGCGGUAGUGCGGGGGUCCCGAGCGUUGUCCGGAUUUAUUGGGCGUAAAGCGAGCGGAGGCGGUUAGAUAAGUCUGAAGUUAAAGGCUGUGGCUUAACCAUAGUAGGCUUUGGAAACUGUUUAACUUGAGUGCAAGAGGGGAGAGUGGAAUUCCUUGUGUAGCGGUGAAAUGCGUAGAUAUAUGGAGGAACGCCGGUGGCGAAAGCGGCUCUCUGGCUUGUAACUGACGCUGAGGCUCGAAAGCGUGGGGAGCAAACAGGAUUAGAUACCCUGGUAGUCCACGCUGUAAACGAUGAGUGCUAGGUGUUAGACCCUUUCCCGGGUUUUAGUGCCGUAGCUAACGCAUUAAGCACUCCGCCUGGCGAGUACGAAGGCGAGGGUG